GACGAACGCUGGCGGCGUGCCUAAUACAUGCAAGUUGAGCGCUGAAGGUUGGUACUUGUACCAACUGGAUGAGCAGCGAACGGGUGAGUAACGCGUGGGGAAUCUGCCUUUGAGCGGGGGACAACAUUUGGAAACGAAUGCUAAUACCGCAUAAAAACUUUAAACACAAGUUUUAAGUUUGAAAGAUGCAAUUGCAUCACUCAAAGAUGAUCCCGCGUUGUAUUAGCUAGUUGGUGAGGUAAAGGCUCAACAAGGAGAUGAGACAUAGCCGACCUGAGAGGGGGAUAGGCCACCAUGGGAACUGAAAGCGGCCCAAGCGCCUACGGGAAGCAGCAGGAGGGAAUCCUGGGAAAAGGACGAAAGGCUUACCGAGAAACGCCGCGGGAGUGAAGAAGGUUGUCGGAUCGUAAAACUCUGUUGGUAGAGAAGAACGUUGGUGAGAGUGGAAAGCGCAUAAAGUGACGGUAACUACCCAGAAAGGGACGGCUAACUACGUG
RNAcentral lists this ribosomal RNA (497 nucleotides) under uncultured bacterium. RNAcentral describes it as "partial 16S ribosomal RNA". It matches the Rfam family "Bacterial small subunit ribosomal RNA", at positions 28 to 507 of the family's 1533-position model. The record is from RNAcentral.